RNAcentral lists this ribosomal RNA (661 nucleotides) under Escherichia coli. Its description in RNAcentral is "bacterial LSU rRNA". It matches the Rfam family "Bacterial large subunit ribosomal RNA", at positions 612 to 1272 of the family's 2925-position model. Lineage: Bacteria; Pseudomonadati; Pseudomonadota; Gammaproteobacteria; Enterobacterales; Enterobacteriaceae. The record is from RNAcentral.
AUAAUGGGUCAGCGACUUAUAUUCUGUAGCAAGGUUAACCGAAUAGGGGAGCCGAAGGGAAACCGAGUCUUAACUGGGCGUUAAGUUGCAGGGUAUAGACCCGAAACCCGGUGAUCUAGCCAUGGGCAGGUUGAAGGUUGGGUAACACUAACUGGAGGACCGAACCGACUAAUGUUGAAAAAUUAGCGGAUGACUUGUGGCUGGGGGUGAAAGGCCAAUCAAACCGGGAGAUAGCUGGUUCUCCCCGAAAGCUAUUUAGGUAGCGCCUCGUGAAUUCAUCUCCGGGGGUAGAGCACUGUUUCGGCAAGGGGGUCAUCCCGACUUACCAACCCGAUGCAAACUGCGAAUACCGGAGAAUGUUAUCACGGGAGACACACGGCGGGUGCUAACGUCCGUCGUGAAGAGGGAAACAACCCAGACCGCCAGCUAAGGUCCCAAAGUCAUGGUUAAGUGGGAAACGAUGUGGGAAGGCCCAGACAGCCAGGAUGUUGGCUUAGAAGCAGCCAUCAUUUAAAGAAAGCGUAAUAGCUCACUGGUCGAGUCGGCCUGCGCGGAAGAUGUAACGGGGCUAAACCAUGCACCGAAGCUGCGGCAGCGACGCUUAUGCGUUGUUGGGUAGGGGAGCGUUCUGUAAGCCUGCGAAGGUGUGCUGUGAGGCAUG